RNAcentral lists this long non-coding RNA (663 nucleotides) under Homo sapiens (human). RNAcentral's name for it is "psoriasis susceptibility 1 candidate 3, non-protein coding RNA". Lineage: Eukaryota; Metazoa; Chordata; Mammalia; Primates; Hominidae. The record is from RNAcentral.
GUUUUGUCUGGGGCUCGUCCUGCUACAUUUCUUGGUUCCCUGAACAGGAAGCGAGGUAACUGACGGACGGCCAAGGCAGCCCCUUGGGUGGCUUAGGCCUGCCCUGUGGAGCAUCCCUGCGGUGGACUCUGGCCAGCCUGAGUGACGCGAUCCAAAGAGCGCUCCCGGGUAGGAAAUUCCCCGGGUGGAACGCCUCGCCAGAGCAGCACGUAGCAGGCCCCCGAGGAGGAUUAACACACUGGCUGAACACUGGGAAGGAACUGGCACUUGGAGUCCGGACAUCUGAAACUUGCAACCCACUCUCUGUGCUAUGACUUCAUUACUCUUUCCCAGCCCAGCCCUGGGCAAGCCCCUUACGAAGUCUCAGGCUACCUGGAUGACCACCCUUUCUUAUGAUGCUGCAAGGAGGGCAGGUGGGCAGAGCCCCGUGCAUCCUGGGCUCAGGCCAGGGACCCAAGAGCUUGGGAGAAGCUGGUUCUCAGACUGAAGGCCAGAGCCCAGCACCUUGUCACCAUCCCGGGGAGCAUCAUGGCACACAACAACCAGAGCCAUGCCAGCCGCCUCACCUGGUGGGGAGAGGUGGGCCUCACCUGGGUCCCCUGGCAGUGCUCUGUGAAGGGUCUUGACAUUGCACUGUAAUAAUAAAGGUGUGUGUGAAGUAUC